GUACCAGACUCCUACGGGAGGCAGCAGUGGGGGAUAUUGCACAAUGGGGGGAACCCUGAUGCAGCGACGCCGCGUGAGUGAAGAAGUCUUUCGGUCUGUAAAGCUCUAUCAGCAGGGAAGAAAGAGACGAAAGUCUUGUGACAGUACCUGACUAAGAAGCCCCGGCUAACUACGUGCCAGCAGCCGCGGUAAUACGUAGGGGGCGAGCGUUAUCCGGAUUCACUGGGUGUAAAGGGAGCGUAGACGGCCAAGCAAGCCAGGAGUGAAAGCCCGGGGCCCAACCCCGGGACUGCUCUUGGAACUGCGCGGCUGGAGUGCAGGAGGGGCAGGCGGAAUUCCUGGUGUAGCGGUGAAAUGCGUAGAUAUCAGGAGGAACACCGGUGGCGAAGGCGGCCUGCUGGACGGCGACUGACGUUGAGGCCCGAAAGCGUGGGGAGCAAACAGGAUUAGAUACCCCGGUAGCA
This 464-nucleotide ribosomal RNA is filed under the name uncultured bacterium. RNAcentral's name for it is "partial 16S ribosomal RNA". It matches the Rfam family "Bacterial small subunit ribosomal RNA", at positions 328 to 795 of the family's 1533-position model. The record is from RNAcentral.